This 253-nucleotide ribosomal RNA is filed under the name uncultured bacterium. RNAcentral's name for it is "partial 16S ribosomal RNA". It matches the Rfam family "Bacterial small subunit ribosomal RNA", at positions 524 to 776 of the family's 1533-position model. The record is from RNAcentral.
UACGUAGGGUGCGAGCGUUAAUCGGAAUUACUGGGCGUAAAGCGUGCGCAGGCGGUUUUGUAAGACAGAGGUGAAAUCCCCGGGCUCAACCUGGGAACUGCCUUUGUGACUGCAAGGCUUGAGUGCGGCAGAGGGGGAUGGAAUUCCGCGUGUAGCAGUGAAAUGCGCAGAUAUCAGGAGGAACACCGAUGGCGAAGGCGGCAUCCUGGACCGACAUUGACGCUGAGGAGCGAAAGCUAGGGGAGCAAACGGG